This is a non-coding RNA of Podarcis muralis (Common wall lizard), 848 nucleotides long. The record is from RefSeq and is a predicted model, not a curated record. NCBI's taxonomy places the organism in Eukaryota, Metazoa, Chordata, Lepidosauria, Squamata, Lacertidae.
CUCUGCAAGAGAGACAGAGAGACUAGAUCUGUCUUUCAACAAUACUGCAAGGACAGAAACCAGAGCAGGAGAUUUUAUUAAUGCUGUGGAAGAGCAACAAGCUACCCUUCUGUACAUUACACAGGUGGGACAGACUUGGUGGGGUGAGAAUUCGCUUGGAGAGGAAGGGUCUGCAGUGGAACUUGGAGCUCUAAGACAUGGCUGGGGAACCUUUUUUGGUCCCUUCCAGGCAACCCUCCAGGGGUGACAGUCAGAGAUUGUCCCAGAGUGAGCUGUGAGUAGCUGAUGCCUUCUUGGGUGUUCCUUCAAUUAAAGCCCAGGAGAAGACAUUAUGAGAACAGAUCUGCCGUGCUGUUCCUGCUGGCUGUUUGAAGAGUCUUCUUUGAAGCCCAAAGAGAAAUUCAUUUCCCAGGCUUUGCAAUUCAUUGAAAGAUGAGGCUGAUGACCACAGAAAGGGUCAAUCAGAUUAGCCUUUGAUGACCCCCGUGUUUGUGUCUUUAAUGGGCGUCUUGCAAAAUGAUAUUUCCAGUUUUUAAUGCUGUGCCUCGUAUGUGAGAUCAUACAGGAUAUUAGUUUUGAUUGUCUGGUGCCACAAGGAUUGCAAUUGAUUCCCCCCCCAACCCCACAUAUCUCCUUUCUGUCUUGGCUUCCUCUGCCUUAUUGCAUACCUUCUAACAAUAUAUUCAUGCUAACCUCUAAGAAUGUCUUACAGUACUGAUCUCAAUGCCACAUUGGGCAUAUUUAUUAUUAUUUUUUCUUCAUUCAGUACGGAGGCUAAUAUCUUGUUGUCUUUUGUCUGAAACCACAGAGCAUGAAGUCAGGAAUUGUUCCGCCCUCUGACAGUUGUG